AUCUUAGAAGCUGAUGUUUAGCGUUGGAUUUUUACUCCAGGGGAAGAAUUAUUUCCUAAGAUG
Molecule: transfer RNA, 63 nt
Filed under: Prosadenoporus spectaculum
Lineage: Eukaryota; Metazoa; Nemertea; Enopla; Monostilifera; Prosorhochmidae
Description: tRNA-Lys
Source: RNAcentral